Long non-coding RNA from Tympanuchus pallidicinctus (lesser prairie-chicken), 715 nucleotides. RefSeq lists it as uncharacterized. The transcript is spliced from 3 exons. The record is from RefSeq and is a predicted model, not a curated record. Lineage: Eukaryota; Metazoa; Chordata; Aves; Galliformes; Phasianidae.
UCUGCCAGCGAUGAACCUUCAGGACACACAGCCACGGAGCUGCUUUCACACAUUGUCCCUCGGACGGCUGAAAAGCUCAGGGCCCUGUGCACAGGGGAGAAAGGCUCGUGGAUUCAGGAGUACCACGUUUCACAGGAUAGUUAGUGACUUCCUAUGUCAGGUAAGCUUAACGUGAAGGCUUUUCACGGAGAGAAAAAGCCCACCUGGGCUGCAGCACCGCAUGGAUCCUGCCUGAAAGUGGGCUUUUCCAGUUUUUGACUGUAGUGAGAGUAGCCAAAAUCAGCAGGGCUGCUGUCAGCAGCGACGCCUCAAGCUUUCCCGACACUUCUAGAGAGGAUCACGUUUGAUUCUUGGGGAGCUGUGACUUCAUGGGAACGCCACAGCCUGCGUAACCAGCAGUGGCAGCAACGAUGUCGAGACAACGACUUUCACAGGCAUGAGAAGUAAUGGAGAUGUGCACAGUUCUUCCAGCCGCUGUGCAAAGAGCGAAUCCAAACCAGCGCUCUUCUUUACAAGUCCCUUCAUGCUGUGAGGUUUCUGCCAACGGUGGGUGUGCUUACAACAGAGACAUGAGUUUUCUUUCAUUGUUAUUUUGUUCCAGGCGUGUACCUGGACAGAGCCCAGCAGUUCCAUGAUACCAUUGUGUCCGUGAUGCUUUCCUAGUGAAGGGAGUUUCACCUGGGUGAUACCUCCUUGUACAGCCAAAUGCACUGAA